RNAcentral lists this non-coding RNA (158 nucleotides) under Stegodyphus mimosarum. Its description in RNAcentral is "Eukaryotic small subunit ribosomal RNA". It matches the Rfam family "Eukaryotic small subunit ribosomal RNA", at positions 1289 to 1470 of the family's 1831-position model. The record is from Rfam by way of RNAcentral. Lineage: Eukaryota; Metazoa; Arthropoda; Arachnida; Araneae; Eresidae.
AGCUCAUGGAGUCGAGUAAGAGAGUGUCUGGUUAAUUCCGAUAUCGAACGAGACUCGAGCCUACUAAAUAGACUCUCCAAUUCGAGUCGAACGUUCCUCUUAGAGGGACAAGCGGCGUUUAGCCGCACAAGACAGAACAAUAACAGGUCUGUGAUGCU